AGUGAACGCUGGCGGUAGGCCUAACACAUGCAAGUCGAACGGCAGCACAGUAAGAGCUUGCUCUUACGGGUGGCGAGUGGCGGACGGGUGAGGAAUACAUCGGAAUCUACUUUUUCGGGGGGGAUAACGUAGGGAAACUUACGCUAAUACCGCAUACGACCUACGGGUGAAAGCAAGGGAUCUUCGGACCUUGCGCGAUUGAAUGAGCCGAUGUCGGAUUAGCUAGUUGGCGGGGUAAGGGCCCACCAAGGCAACGGUCCGUAGCUGGUCUGAGAGGAUGGUCAGCCACACUGGAACUGAGACACGGUCCAGACUCCUACGGGAGGCAGCAGAGGGGAAUAUUGGACAAUGGGGGCAAGCCUGACCCAGCCAUACCGCGUGGGUGAAGAAGGCCUUCGGGUUGUAAAGCCCUUUUGUUGGGAAAGAAAAGCAGCAGGUUAAUACCCCGCUGUUCUGACGGUACCCAAAGAAUAAGCACCGGCUAACUUCGUG
RNAcentral lists this ribosomal RNA (492 nucleotides) under uncultured bacterium. Its description in RNAcentral is "partial 16S ribosomal RNA". It matches the Rfam family "Bacterial small subunit ribosomal RNA", at positions 29 to 507 of the family's 1533-position model. The record is from RNAcentral.